GGCCCCUCAGGAGGAAGGGGCGGGGAGAUCCCAGCUACUAGAGGACGCCCGUUCCAAUGGCAACUCUGCCAAGGCGCCUAUGAGAGCCUCUUGGCUUUUACCUGGUCUGCGAGAAAUCAAACUUUGGGCACAAGUCAUGAAGCCGACAAGCCCGGGAGACACAGUGUCAGAAUUACAAGGUGAGAUCAGCCGCCCGGCCAAGCUAUCUUCUCGCUAGCAGGAACACUACAAGGCCUGUUAGAGAAGAAAGGGUAGAAUCCCGAGAAUGUUUUCCCCACAGUGCUGAUAAGGAGAGACCACUAUCCCAUCUACUGCUACAGCUCUGGAGACAGAGCUCUCCCACCUGUCAUAUAGAACACAAGGACCAAUCUGCAGAGAAAGAGCAUCCAAACCUGAUCCAGUGGACACUGGGGAAAAACUCACCACAGCUGAGUGUGGAAAAACAAGGCCAACACACACAUCUCUGCACAGAUACAUCUCCCAUAAAGAAACUAAAGUGUUAAUUUACAGGGCACUGUUGCAGACCCACUUCAGCUGGAAGCUAGGAACAUGGACAAGGAGCCUCUCUACCACCAAGGGAGAGAGAGGAAUGUGCUCUUGUCCUGGCAUUGCAUCCACAGGAGGGGCAGGAAAUUCUUUGAAGGUCUCGCAUCUGGGGCUCGAUCUCGUGCAGAGGAGCAUUUCCGAAGACACUGGCCGCUCCCACAAUGGCUCCGAAGAACCCAGCGACCAGCGGGUUCAUGAGUUUGUUGGGGCUGUCCACUCGGUACCAGCUGCGCAGGGAUGUCAGGACAAAGAAACAAGUUGCCUGGUUCCAGCCCUGCUUCAGCACGGGGCCUGUGGGGCCCCGGUAAGUCCCGGUGUUCCCGCACAAUCUCCUAACCCUGUGGAAGAAUCCCCUGUACUUGGAUUUGGAGAGGUCUGGCCAUGGAUUAACUUCACCUUGAUGGUCUCCAUGGGACAUAGGACCACCACGGCCUCGGCCACGCUAGCUCACUGGCCGCACCGCUGCCCGCCUUGCUGUUCACCAGUCCCUGGGCAUCCCGCAUCUGGUUGCUGAGGAACGCCUGACGCCGCCUUGUGGAUGAAGCCGCAGAGCAGGGAGCUGAGGCUGCGGCCCAGGCCCAGGCUGCCUUGGCUGCGACUGUGUGCCUGCAGGCCCCAUGCCCGGUAUCCGGUGGAUGCGAGUGCUAGUCCAGCUGCAGCUGCAUCUUCACGAACUCGGUGGGGAACGGGAUGCAGAUUUUUUUUUUCUUUUCCUUCCUUCCUUCCUUCCUUCCAACUUCCUUCCUUCCUUCCCCUUUCUUUCUUUCUUUUUUUUUUUUUUUUUUUUUUGACAGAAUUUUGCUCUUGUCCCCCAGGCUGGAGUGCAGUGGCGCGAUCUUGGCUCACUACAACCUGGAUUCAAGCGAUUCUCCUGCCUCAGCCUCCCGAGUAGCUGGGAUUACAGGCAUGUGCCACCAUUCCCGGCUAAUUUUUUUGUCUUUUUAGUAGAGACGGUGUUUCCCCAUGUUGGUCAGGCUGGUCUCAAACGCCUGACUCAGAUGAUCCGCCCGCCUCGGCCACCCAAAGUGCUGAGAUUACAGGCUUGAACCACCGCGCCUGGCCCUGUGAUGUAGAUUUUGAUGCUGCCAGCCAGGCUGCCUGCCGGGAUCGCCUGCCCUGGAGCAGGAGCAUCAGCCGUGCGUUCCAGGACGCAGGCAUGGCAUGACCGGCAGGAGGCGGAGUGCCCGGCGUCUCUUGGGAUCGGAGCCUCCUGAAUUCCACGCUGGGACCUUAAUUUGGUUUUAACACAAAUAAAGAUCUCACAUAAAGAUAAAAGGG
Long non-coding RNA from Homo sapiens (human), 1824 nucleotides. Ensembl annotates it as long intergenic non-protein coding RNA 2987. The record is from Ensembl. NCBI's taxonomy places the organism in Eukaryota, Metazoa, Chordata, Mammalia, Primates, Hominidae.